GACGAACGCUGGCGGCGUGCCUAAUACAUGCAAGUCGAACGCACAGUUUAUACCGUAGCUUGCUACACCAUAGACUGUGAGUUGCGAACGGGUGAGUAACGCGUAGGUAACCUGCCUGGUAGCGGGGGAUAACUAUUGGAAACGAUAGCUAAUACCGCAUAAUAUUGAUUAUUGCAUGAUAAUUAAUUGAAAGGUGCAAUUGCACCACUACCAGAUGGACCUGCGUUGUAUUAGCUAGUAGGUGAGGUAACGGCUCACCUAGGCGACGAUACAUAGCCGACCGUAGAGGGUGAACGGCCACACUGGGACUGAGACACGGCCCAGACUCCUACGGGAGGCAGCAGUAGGGAAUCUUCGGCAAGGGACGAAAGUCUGACCGAGAAACGCCGCGUGAGGGAAGAAGGUUUUCGGAUCGUAAAGCUCGGUUGUAAGAGAAGAACGGGUGUGAGAGUGGAAAGUUCACACUGUGACGGUAUCUUACCAGAAAGGGACGGCUAACUACGUG
RNAcentral lists this ribosomal RNA (505 nucleotides) under uncultured bacterium. RNAcentral's name for it is "partial 16S ribosomal RNA". It matches the Rfam family "Bacterial small subunit ribosomal RNA", at positions 28 to 507 of the family's 1533-position model. The record is from RNAcentral.